GGAUGAUGGGUUUCAGAGGUUCUUGGCCAUGCUGCUAAGUGGGGCCUCCCAGCUUGGGGUUUAAGCUGCCACUCAGUCAACGUCACCCUGCAGUUAUUCUACCUCCUGUGAACUGAACUUUAGAGCGACAACUGGCAUCAGAAAAUUACUGAGGGAGAAUGAGAUUGAAUGAAGGCAUUCUGAAUCAGUUGGAGGUUAUUCCUUUUCCCAGUCUAUUUGAUAUUCCAUAACUUCACCUAAUGACAUUCUUCUGCAAGUGACACCAAGCCCACAUUUAAAGAGCGAAUCGAGUGGGUGAAGGAGUCUGGAGAAUAUUGCAGAGGUAGAAUGGGGCAAGAGCAUAAAGGGAUUUAAAGAACACCACAAACGUACUGCAUACAGAAACCUUAUAUGGAGAGACAAACUCAUAAAUGAUGAACCACUUCAAUGCAAAGUGUGAAUUGGCAAGCAAUUGUACAAGUGGAGUGGGCUCUCGGUUAUUGGAAUUCAGUGGUCUAACUGCUGGCUAGUCAACACCGGUUUGUAUUCUCAGAACAUAUCUCAAUGGUAAUACUAAUAACUUCCAUAUAUGUAGCAUGUUUUAUAUAAAAUAAAUG
Long non-coding RNA from Callorhinchus milii (elephant shark), 596 nucleotides. RefSeq lists it as uncharacterized. The record is from RefSeq and is a predicted model, not a curated record. The transcript has 4 exons. Lineage: Eukaryota; Metazoa; Chordata; Chondrichthyes; Chimaeriformes; Callorhinchidae.